Grus americana (Whooping crane) is the source of this 571-nucleotide long non-coding RNA. RefSeq lists it as uncharacterized. Lineage: Eukaryota; Metazoa; Chordata; Aves; Gruiformes; Gruidae. The transcript has 2 exons. The record is from RefSeq and is a predicted model, not a curated record.
GAUGUCUGUGCCGUAUGGAGCAGUGAUGGAAGGGAUGGGUGUUUUGUUUGUUCAUUCAAAGUUUCCUCUGCAGUGGACAGCCUUAGCAAGCCACGGCCCGGUAUGGAGUUGUUGGGUUUUUGCAGCUAGCAUAAAGCCUGUAGAGUGCCAGGGAUUGCUCUCCAUGGAGGUAUGGAAGAAGAACAUCAAAACAUGACACCAGUUCCAGUUCUUGUACCUUCUCCAAGAGAGCCCUCCUGGAGCUCAUUCUGUUCCACCUUGGGUUAUGAAAAACAAUGCAUUUUUUGGCUUUAAAAAGUCAAAGUAGGCACUACUACUUGUCUUCUAAGACUAAGAAAUAUGUGUGCUCUGAUUUAAAAAUGCCUUUGUGUCACAAUCUAUGCCCCCUUGAGCUCAGCUCUUUAUGAGUUUUUCAUAUUAGAAUAUUGCUGUUAUUUAUUAAAUCCCUGAUAAAGCUACACUUAAUGCUCCCAUAAUAGAAUAUACAUCUUUAAAUGUGCUGAAUAUGUGGUUUGUCACUGAUGCAAAGUGUACUGAUUAAUUAAAUAAGACUUAGAGAUUCAUAAAGCAA